AACGAACGCUGGCGGCAUGCCUAACACAUGCAAGUCGAACGAGACCUUCGGGUCUAGUGGCGCACGGGUGCGUAACGCGUGGGAACCUGCCCUUAGGUUCGGAAUAACUCCCCGAAAGGGGUGCUAAUACCGGAUAAUGUCUUCGGACCAAAGAUUUAUCGCCUUUGGAUGGGCCCGCGUUGGAUUAGCUAGUUGGUAGGGUAAAAGCCUACCAAGGCGACGAUCCAUAGCUGGUCUGAGAGGAUGAUCAGCCACACUGGGACUGAGACACGGCCCAGACUCCUACGGGAGGCAGCAGUGGGGAAUAUUGGACAGUGGACGAAAGCCUGAUCCAGAAAUGCCGGGUGAGUGAUGAAGGCCUUAGGGUUGUAAAGCUCUUUUACCCGGGAUGAUAAUGACAGUACCGGGGGAAUAGGCUCCGGCUAACUCCGUG
This 433-nucleotide ribosomal RNA is filed under the name uncultured bacterium. RNAcentral describes it as "partial 16S ribosomal RNA". It matches the Rfam family "Bacterial small subunit ribosomal RNA", at positions 29 to 507 of the family's 1533-position model. The record is from RNAcentral.